Molecule: long non-coding RNA, 1863 nt
Organism: Catharus ustulatus (Swainson's thrush)
Lineage: Eukaryota; Metazoa; Chordata; Aves; Passeriformes; Turdidae
Exons: 3
Source: RefSeq, a predicted model, not a curated record
GUGAGCUGCACCAGUCCCUCGUGGAGCUGGAAUGGGAGGCUGCUCUGCAUGUCUGGAUGGAUGCUCCUCUCCAGCAGCAUCCUGGACUAAUGCCAGAUCAAAGUGGACAUGUAACCAUGGCUUCAUGUUCUUAGGGCCAAGAAUCUGUGAAAGUUAUGUCUCAUAUCUUUGAAGCUACUCUCUUACAGGAGCCCAGUUAAGAGGAAAGAGCUCUGGAACCUUUUGAAAGCUUCGACAGCUUGAUGAUGCUCUUCCUGGACUAUUUAACUACUGUCACGAAAUUUUACUUGGAACCAUUUUUAGUGAGAACAAUUUAAAUAGCAAAGUAGAAAUGUUCUUUGUUUCAAAAAACUGUCUCUCAAAAGGAGAAGAAUGCAAUUAGACUGGUUUUGGCUCUGGAGUUAGUUGUAGGUCUCUAUAGUGUACCCCAGCAACUGGGGAGCUCUGCCCUUUUCAGUAGAGAUAUGUUUGGGUUUAUAUCAAUACUGUCUUUUCCAGCCUGUGUCAUUUUUCAGUUGUACUCAAUGAUCUCAAGGGUUUUUUCCAAUCUAAAUAAAUCUCUGAUUUUAUGACCUAGUGAGGCUAAUUAAAUUGAAAGUGCGCUUCCCCAAAGUAAAGGAGGGAAAUACACUGAACUGCCUUUCUCUGUGUGCACUUUCAGAGCAGAGGAGGGUGGUUGAGGAAUUGAUGUGCAAGUCCUUGUUUCUGCCCUAUCAAUUCUCUGCAUAAGCCCCAACUGCCAAAGAAGAGAGGCACAUGUGGAGAUCAGACCAUGGAAGUGUUGUCAUUGAAUGAAAAUUCAUCAGAGAGCUUUAGUUAAUUAUCCUAGUUCAUCAAAAUGGGGAUUCUUCCACUCUUGGAUAGCAUUGCCGUAUUUCCCUGCCAGGGAAAUUAUGUGGAUAAUACCAAAUCGCUUAGCAAGUUUUUGUGGUUUAGUCCCUUUUUAAAAUCACAAUUACUUUUAAAUUGAGCUUGUCAGUUGGACAUCUGAAUGGGUGUAGUCCACAAAACUGCACUUGACCUGCAAAUUACAUUUAUUAGGAGGGCAGCACUUCUGAGUGAAAGAUAAAGAUCAAAUCCAAUCUGAUCAUUGGAGCAGUCAUUUCUGCUUGUUGGGUUAUGAUGGUGGGAAUUACCUUAAAUCUGUCUUCACAAGGCACAACCCUUGUUUAAAACAACCCUGGAGGGGUUUUAACUCUGGAGGAUCUAGUUAGAGGAAGGAGCAAUGGAUGGCUAUCUUCUGUGUGUGCUCCCCAGUGAUCCAAGACUGACUGUGCCUCUGAGAUGACAGCAGAGUUACUGAAGCUACUGAACAGUAUUUUCACACCAGAAAAGUUCUAAAAUAUGUGUUGGGAAUUUACACUAUGCUCCUUCUGUAAAGCGCUGCAUUAAUGAGAGUUACAAUACAGAUUCAUAUACAAAUCUUCAAAUACUCUGGAUGGAAUGACUGAUGGCUUCGUAUAACCCCUGGUUACAAGCAGUUUGCUUGUGCUGGCUCUGCUAAUUAGCACCUCACUCUUUCAUUUACCCUGCAGCAAACAGGGCUUGCCUGGCUCAGACCUCUCUGUGCUAGCCUGUGCUGCACUGUAGAUGUAUGAGGACAACCGCAGGUCCCAAGUUGAAAGUAGAGACAAAGCAAAUGUCUUUUCUGAGAGUGGCACAUGUACCUUUGGGGUCUGCUUGUCACUGGACUUGGUAUGUGGAAGGUCAGUUUGGUACAAUUUGUUUCUUCCCACUUCUCUUUUCAUCCUCUCCAUGUUCAUGAGGUAGUUUUAUGCUCUUUCUGGACCUACAUCUUGAAAACUGUAACUGCUCUGUGAUAUCACUAAGCCACACAGUUUUCCUUGGUGCGCUUUAUUAAAG